CUUCAGGGCGGGGUGUAAUUCCCCACCGGCUGUAUGCAUUUUUUACAUUGCGAGCCAGCGAGUAUCUCUAUUGAUACAUGAUACGGUGAGACUCCGUAGCCGACGGUAUAGUCCGGAUGAAAGAAGU
RNAcentral lists this non-coding RNA (127 nucleotides) under uncultured Treponema sp. RNAcentral describes it as "FMN riboswitch (RFN element)". It matches the Rfam family "FMN riboswitch aptamer (RFN element)". From Rfam's summary of the family: The RFN element is a highly conserved domain that is found frequently in the 5'-untranslated regions of prokaryotic mRNAs that encode for flavin mononucleotide (FMN) biosynthesis and transport proteins. This element is a metabolite-dependent riboswitch that directly binds FMN in the absence of proteins. In Bacillus subtilis, the riboswitch most likely controls gene expression by causing premature transcription termination within the 5' untranslated region of the ribDEAHT operon and precluding access to the ribosome-binding site of ypaA mRNA. Lineage: Bacteria; Pseudomonadati; Spirochaetota; Spirochaetia; Treponematales; Treponemataceae. The record is from RNAcentral.